Molecule: unclassified non-coding RNA, 275 nt
Filed under: Hevea brasiliensis (rubber tree)
Lineage: Eukaryota; Viridiplantae; Streptophyta; Magnoliopsida; Malpighiales; Euphorbiaceae
Source: RNAcentral
GUAUAACUAGAAUUUUCCAAAGGAAAAUUUGUGAUGUGCCAUUUCCGAACAUCCUCAGAUGGUAUUUGAGGUCCUAGGUGACUGGAUGAACAUGAUGGCUCCAUUGAUGCGCGAUAUUUAUGCAUUUCCUUCCUUUUAAAUUCAUCCAUCAUGUCCCUUUGAGUUCUGUAAAGGCGAUGAAGUUCCACCACCUGAUUCCUGAAUAUGGCUUCGUGUUCAAGCAUUCUCUGCUUUAGAAUGUCCUUAUCAUACCCUGGAUAUGCAUUAGUUGUAGU